GAUGAAGGAACGUAGCGAAAUGCGAUAACUAAUGUGAAUUGCAGAAUUCCGUGAAUCAUCGAGUCUUUGAACGCACAUUGCGCCCCCUGGUAUUCCGGGGGGCAUGCCUGUCCGAGCGUCAUUGCUGCCCAUCAAGCACGGCUUGUGUGUUGGGUCCUCGUCCCCCCCGGGGGACGUGCCCGAAAGGCAGCGGCGGCACCGCGUCCGGUCCUCGAGCGUAUGGGGCUUUGUCACCCGCUCUGCAGGCCCGGCCGGCGCUGGCCGACGCGAAAGCAACCAUUUUUUCUCCAGGUUGACCUCGGAUCAGGUAGGGAUACCCGCUGAACUUAAGCAUAUCAAUAAGCGGAGGA
Molecule: unclassified non-coding RNA, 350 nt
Filed under: soil metagenome
Description: partial contains 5.8S ribosomal RNA, internal transcribed spacer 2, and large subunit ribosomal RNA
Rfam family: 5.8S ribosomal RNA (bases 1-121)
Source: RNAcentral